This 293-nucleotide ribosomal RNA is filed under the name uncultured microorganism. RNAcentral's name for it is "partial 16S ribosomal RNA". It matches the Rfam family "Bacterial small subunit ribosomal RNA", at positions 505 to 796 of the family's 1533-position model. The record is from RNAcentral.
UUGCCAGCAGCCGCGGUGAUACGUAGGGUGCGAGCGUAGUCCGGGAUUUAUUGGGCGUAAAGGGCUCGUAGGUGGUUGAUCGCGUCGGAAGUGUAAUCUUGGGGCUUAACCCUGAGCGUGCUUUCGAUACGGGUUGACUUGAGGAAGGUAGGGGAGAAUGGAAUUCCUGGUGGAGCGGUGGAAUGCGCAGAUAUCAGGAGGAACACCAGUGGCGAAGGCGGUUCUCUGGGCCUUUCCUGACGCUGAGGAGCGAAAGCGUGGGGAGCGAACAGGCUUAGAUACCCUGGUAGUCC